GUAGGGAAUCUUCCGCAAUGGACGAAAGUCUGACGGAGCAACGCCGCGUGAGUGAUGAAGGUUUUCGGAUCGUAAAACUCUGUUGUUAGGGAAGAACAAGUUGGGUAGUAACUGACCCAACCUUGACGGUACCUAACCAGAAAGCCACGGCUAACUACGUGCCAGCAGCCGCGGUAAUACGUAGGUGGCAAGCGUUGUCCGGAAUUAUUGGGCGUAAAGCGCUCGCAGGCGGUCUUUUAAGUCUGAUGUGAAAGCCCACGGCUUAACCGUGGAGGGUCAUUGGAAACUGGAGGACUUGAGUACAGAAGAGGAGAGUGGAAUUCCACGUGUAGCGGUGAAAUGCGUAGAGAUGUGGAGGAACACCAGUGGCGAAGGCGACUCUCUGGUCUGUAACUGACGCUGAGGAGCGAAAGCGUGGGUAGCGAACAGGAUUAGAAACCCUAGUAGUCC
Molecule: ribosomal RNA, 450 nt
Filed under: uncultured bacterium
Lineage: Bacteria
Description: bacterial SSU rRNA
Rfam family: Bacterial small subunit ribosomal RNA
Source: RNAcentral